UAGGGAAUCUUCGGCAAUGGACGAAAGUCUGACCGAGCAACGCCGCGUGAGUGAAGAAGGUUUUCGGAUCGUAAAACUCUGCUGGUAGAGAAGAACGUUGGUGAGAGUGGAAAGCUCAUCAAGUGACGGUAACUACCCAGAAAGGGACGGCUAACUACGUGCUAG
Molecule: ribosomal RNA, 165 nt
Filed under: uncultured bacterium
Lineage: Bacteria
Description: partial 16S rRNA
Rfam family: Bacterial small subunit ribosomal RNA
Source: RNAcentral